This is a long non-coding RNA of Pipra filicauda (Wire-tailed manakin), 219 nucleotides long. RefSeq lists it as uncharacterized. Lineage: Eukaryota; Metazoa; Chordata; Aves; Passeriformes; Pipridae. The record is from RefSeq and is a predicted model, not a curated record. The transcript has 2 exons.
UCUGGAACUCUUUGUAACACCUACCAGUGACUAUUGGAAACUCAGGUCUCCUCCUGACACCUGAGGCUGGUGUGUCUGCCCUGCCCCUGACCCUGUAACAGACCCAGAAGAAGGGGAGAAGAAAGAGGAAGCCUAAGAAGCUGGUGAUUACAUGUGAAGCCUGGCAGAUCUGUAAUCCUGGACUCCAUUAAACAUCUGUCUCCUCCAAUCUCCCUGACA